This 468-nucleotide ribosomal RNA is filed under the name uncultured bacterium. RNAcentral describes it as "partial 16S ribosomal RNA". It matches the Rfam family "Bacterial small subunit ribosomal RNA", at positions 28 to 507 of the family's 1533-position model. The record is from RNAcentral.
GACGAACGCUGGCGGCGUGCUUAACACAUGCAAGUCGAACGGAAAGGCCCUGCUUUUGUGGGGUGCUCGAGUGGCGAACGGGUGAGUAACACGUGAGUAACCUGCCCUUGACUUUGGGAUAACUUUAGGAAACUGGGGCUAAUACCGGAUAGGAGCUCCUUCUGCAUGGUGGGGGUUGGAAAGUUUCGGCGGUUGGGGAUGGACUCGCGGCUUAUCAGCUUGUUGGUGGGGUAGUGGCUUACCAAGGCUUUGACGGGUAGCCGGCCUGAGAGGGUGACCGGCCACAUUGGGACUGAGAUACGGCCCAGACUCCUACGGGAGGCAGCAGUGGGGAAUAGUGCACAAUGGGCGGAAGCCUGAUGCAGCAACGCCGCGUGCGGGAUGACGGCCUUCGGGUUGUAAACCGCUUUCGCCUGUGACGAAGCGUGAGUGAAGGUAAUGGGUAAAGAAGCACCGGCUAACUACGUG